This 84-nucleotide transfer RNA is filed under the name Candidatus Mancarchaeum acidiphilum. Its description in RNAcentral is "tRNA-Leu". It matches the Rfam family "tRNA". From Rfam's summary of the family: Transfer RNA (tRNA) molecules are approximately 80 nucleotides in length. Lineage: Archaea; Nanobdellati; Microcaldota. RNAcentral also lists the same sequence under 2 other names. The record is from RNAcentral.
GCAGGGGUGGCAGAGUCUGGUAAUGCGCAGGACUUAAGAUCCUGUGGCUUAGCGCCUUCGUGAGUUCAAAUCUCACCCCCUGCA